RNAcentral lists this long non-coding RNA (1196 nucleotides) under Marmota monax (woodchuck). The record is from RNAcentral. Lineage: Eukaryota; Metazoa; Chordata; Mammalia; Rodentia; Sciuridae.
UUAUCAUUGAAGCCAGAUGAAUCUUUGUUGUGUGCGAAAAUUUGACAUUUGUGCAUGUGCAAAAGCGCAUGAAGAGGCUUUGGCCCAUGAAGGAGUAACCCUUAUAGAGCCUGAACUUCCUCCGUAAGCAACCAGAAAGCAGGCAAAAAUAUACAAAAUAGCUCUUUGCAGAUACUGGACAAUAGGCUGCUCAUGAGGUGAUCCUCUAGGGAAAGGAAAUGAGGAGGUAAGCCCUCUGGUCUUCCUGUCAGGAGACAAUUUCCACUUCUCAGUGCAGUGAGGAGGAAGACAAAGCAGGGAUGCCAGAGCAGCUGGAAUUUGCAGCAAGCACAACAGAGGAAAAAAGCCAUGCAGAGGAAAAGCUCUGAACUUGUGUUUGCGGGGCUCCUCAAGGCUUUUGGUGAAUACUCAUUUGUGUUGCAUGGGAUGAAACUGAGGGAGCAAAGAGAAGAACAGCUGCUAAGGAGCCAUAAGCAGAGCCUUUUCCAGGACUGAGUGACAUUGGAGUUCACUGCAGUGAUAGUGGAGAGAACUGUGGAACACCCAAGCACUCAGUAGGCACCUCAGAAGAGUCAUGCCUUAGUGUCUAGUACGUAGCUUAGAAAACACUCCUUCAUACACAUGUUGAAAACAAAACUCAAUUUCUUCUACUACACUCACAACACAUCACUUCUGACUUCAGAGGUGCGUGCUGGGGUUUCCUCCAUAGUUCUUGAUUUAGAACUCCCUCCCCAAGAUCAGCUAGAAACUAGAAUUUCUCUUCCCCCUGGCAGGUCAAUUCUAGCAACCAAGCAGUUGUAUAGUGGCAGACACCAGUUGGUUGUCCACCAAUUCAACCCAAUUCCAACACUACCUGGAGACAGUAUCAGAUCCCAUAGGUUCAGGGCUCAGUCCCCAAGGCCUCCCCAUUCCUUAGAUUCCAAUUGCAAGCCCUAGAUAGUUUUACCUGAUACAUUGUUUUAAAUAUUUAUUUUUAGUUUUAGGUAGACAAAGUAUCUUUAUUUUACAUUUAUGUGAUGCUGAGGAUCGAACCCAGUGUCCCAUGCAUGCUAGGCGAGCGCUCUACCACAGAGCCACAACCCCAGCCCUUACCUGAUAUUUUUAAUGGACUGGCAAUACAACCCCCACCUGAUUUCAAUUAAUUUGCUCAAGUAGCUCACAGAACCCAGGAACUUGUUUAGGUUUACUGAUAUUAC